This 222-nucleotide long non-coding RNA is filed under the name Gallus gallus (chicken). The record is from RNAcentral. Lineage: Eukaryota; Metazoa; Chordata; Aves; Galliformes; Phasianidae.
GAGCAAAAAAGGCAUGGGAAUCUUGCUGCCGAGCUCCAUCUCCCUGCACCCAACUGUAAGAGAGAUAUCUAAGAAAAUCACCUAUUACUUGUCACUCCAGAGCAGUGAGAAGCCUGUAUUUGGCUGCUGGUAUCUCUCUGACAACCUCCCAGACUACACAAAUUGGAAGACACUACUCUGGGAAAGAUCUCUCCAGGUAGAUGGGGUUCCAGGUCUGUGGAC